Molecule: long non-coding RNA, 2718 nt
Organism: Bolinopsis microptera
Lineage: Eukaryota; Metazoa; Ctenophora; Tentaculata; Lobata; Bolinopsidae
Exons: 3
Source: RefSeq, a predicted model, not a curated record
AAGGAUGUUUAAGAGUGCUGUGUCAGUGGCACUUCUUCUCUCACUGGCACUGAUAGUGGAGUGUUCUGAUGAUUUGGAACUUACAUUUUUUGGCGUUUUCAGUAUGGCAGAAAUUGAGGUACUUUCGUUCGCCGUGUUUCAUGCAGGAGCUCUAACUGUGCUGGUAGCAGCAGUGGCUGUCAUGACAACAAUCCUGGGCAUAUUAUCCGGUUGUUGGUGCUGCAGAUGUGGUUGUUUCGCGAAACCCUACCAACCAACAGAACAGCUAUAUGUCAUGCAAAAUCAUGCUAGCUACUAGUGAAGUCAAUCCUGAUUCGGGAAUCCCGAGCAAAAAAGGUCCAGGGAUUCCCGAAAGCAAAUGGCAACAGGCGAAAUUACGCCACUGCGCUCAUCUUUAGUUCCCAUUUUGUGUAAUAAAGUCAUGUCCAUGUCAUGACUCAACUUUUAAUUUUAUGGUUAAACUUAUGUUUAAGUUCAAUAGUACAAUUUAAGCUGUCUCAUAAUGUCACAAGAAGAUAUCACAAGUGUCAUAAUUAGCCUUCUUUCUCAAGUAGUACCUUAUUAUAGUACAUAUUAUUAUUCCAUACUGACAUGGUUUGCUUUAGAUAAUCUUAUUUUCCUAAAAACACUUUUAUACUGUGGUGAUCGUUGAGUAAAGGAUUUACUCUAGAUUAUAUAGAUGUUAUAUAGAUUAUAUUGAUGUUUUUAUCACGAACGAAUUGUUGAGAAAACCCCCUAUAAGACUUGGAGACUUGAUACUGGUCUGUAAAAAUUUUUAUCUUGAAGUCACAUCAUUUUUAAGACAUGUUUUAAAGUACAUACUAUUAGUAUUAAUAACGGUACAAAGCAAACUAUGCAAUUGUCAAACUAUAAGUUUCAUGUUUGAAAAGCAAUCUUCAGUGACAUAAUUAACAUAAAAAUGGCAAACAUUAUACAACACAGUGCUCCUUUAUCAAAUUUUAUAAUUAACAAUUAACAAUUACUCAGUACUACUAAACCUAUAUAAAUAACUACAAAUCCUAAUAACUAAUAAAUACUAACUAAAUAUGUCUAACUAAGAAUUUCCUAGAGUGCCUACAUUUAGAAAUAAUUUCUGAUCUUUUAUUAAUAGUGCCUGGGUUUUUAAGUAUGUAUAGUUUCUCGUCUAAGCAGAGGCCACAAUGCCCCGCUCCAGCCUUAUAUUUCUUCGAUUUAGUAAUAAUCUUCCAGUCUAUGCUAUAUUCAAUCAUCUUCUCCUUGAGGUCCCAUAUCAAUUUUGAUAACUCGGUACUCAGUCUGUGCUUAGAAUUCUUGAAACUUUGUCGAUGAUUGUACCACCGUGUCUUAAAACUGUUUUCAGUCAAUCCAAUAUAGGCCGUUUCCUUGUUAGAUGCCGUUUUAACGGUUGCUUGGUAUACUAUGCAUUUGGCCAGACAUUGUCCUUUGAGGGGGCACUUCGAGGCGUCUCUGCAAUUACACUCUUUUUCUGGAGCUUUUUUCUUUUCAGAUUGUUUCUCUAGGACUGAUUUGUGGUGUCCUUUGAGUAUCCUUCCCAAACUGGGCAUGCAGCAAUAGCUUAUUUUCACGGUAUUCCUAUUGAUGAUUUUAUGUAACGGUAGGUUUUUCGGGAAAUGCUUAUCGAUGAGAGCGAAGAACUUUCUUCCGAUGUUGGUUGAAACGUUCGCACUGAAUGGGGGAUUGUACCAUAGGAUGUUCCUCUUCUGCGAUCUCUUUCUCUUUUUAGGCGGUGGUGUUUUAUAAUCGAUGGUGUGACUAUAUCCGCUAUCUCUAAGUGCCUUCUCAUAAUCGCUUUUGGCUUCAUUUAGGCAUGUCCUGUUGCUGGAUAUGCUUAUCAAUCGUGAUUCUAUCAUCGAGGGUAAGUUCUUCAAUAUGAUGGGAGGAUGAUUGGAUUCUGCGUUAAUGUACAAUGGUGUGUCAUUUGGUUUCCUAUAAGGUCUGUAUGACUUGUCUGUUAGGUCUAGCACGACAUCUAAGAAAUCAACCGAAUGCUGACAGAUGCUCCUAGCUACAGCUAGUAGAGCCCUUUUUCUAUAAGAGAAGAUAACCAGUUGUACUAUUAGUAUUAUGUAGUUUCACAAUUUUUUAAAUUUUGUGUUUGUAUUGCAAUACUUUAUCGGACCUUAUUUGGACGGACAUUAAUUGAACGCUGGAGGCCCUAGCGUUCAUUUUAAAGUCCGUUCAUUUAAGGUCCGUCCAAUUUAAAGUCCGUUGAAUUUAAAGUCCGUUGAAUUUUUUUCAAAAAUUUUUCCACUUCGAACUUUUUGUCCCGAAUAUGUGAUAUGACAACUUUUUAAUUUUAGUCAAUUUCAAUAGCUAUCAUUAGACUAAACUAUAUCAUUAAAUCAAUGAAAACAAGUUAUUAUAAAAUUUGUUGUUAUUAUAAAAGUGUUGCCAAGGACAUUGUCCGACGUUGUUGUAUAAUUCAUAUUACUCAGGGGAGGUAAUGAAACAGAUAAGUGCUGGGAAAGCUCCACGUAAUGUUAAGGUUAACCUAACGUUGUCUAAGAUAAAACCACUUCACGCCAGAUGGCUUGUAAAAGUUUACACUGAAAUGCAGGACCGAGGUAGUUUGAUAAAAAAGGUUUCCAAAAAGAGAGUAUUAUUGAUGCUUUAACCAUGGAAUAUUUAAUGCACGAAAACCCAUUUGAUGAAGAUGAUAUGAUAUUAAACUAUUAGACACUGAUCGUGUACACAUAUUUCAACAUUUUUACUGCUUAA